UUUGCGAACGACCCUGUCCAA
This 21-nucleotide microRNA is filed under the name Strongyloides ratti. RNAcentral describes it as "str-miR-8371-3p". Lineage: Eukaryota; Metazoa; Nematoda; Chromadorea; Rhabditida; Strongyloididae. The record is from miRBase by way of RNAcentral.